Molecule: ribosomal RNA, 780 nt
Filed under: Sphingobacterium sp.
Lineage: Bacteria; Pseudomonadati; Bacteroidota; Sphingobacteriia; Sphingobacteriales; Sphingobacteriaceae
Description: bacterial SSU rRNA
Rfam family: Bacterial small subunit ribosomal RNA
Source: RNAcentral
UAGCUUGCUAUCAAUGGUGAGAGUGGCGCACGGGUGCGUAACGCGUGAGCAACCUACCUCCAUCAGGGGGAUAGCCUCUCGAAAGAGAGAUUAACACCGCAUAAUAUCAACAGUUCGCAUGUUCAGUUGAUUAAAUAUUUAUAGGAUGGAGAUGGGCUCGCGUGACAUUAGCUAGUUGGUAGGGUAACGGCUUACCAAGGCGACGAUGUCUAGGGGCUCUGAGAGGAGAAUCCCCCACACUGGUACUGAGACACGGACCAGACUCCUACGGGAGGCAGCAGUAAGGAAUAUUGGUCAAUGGGCGGAAGCCUGAACCAGCCAUGCCGCGUGCAGGAUGACUGCCCUAUGGGUUGUAAACUGCUUUUGUCCAGGAAUAAACCUAAAUACGAGUAUUUAGCUGAAUGUACUGGAAGAAUAAGGAUCGGCUAACUCCGUGCCAGCAGCCGCGGUAAUACGGAGGAUCCGAGCGUUAUCCGGAUUUAUUGGGUUUAAAGGGUGCGUAGGCGGCCUGUUAAGUCAGGGGUGAAAUACGGUGGCUCAACCAUCGCAGUGCCUUUGAUACUGAUGGGCUUGAAUCCAUUUGAAGUGGGCGGAAUAAGACAAGUAGCGGUGAAAUGCAUAGAUAUGUCUUAGAACUCCGAUUGCGAAGGCAGCUCACUAAGCUGGUAUUGACGCUGAUGCACGAAAGCGUGGGGAUCGAACAGGAUUAGAUACCCUGGUAGUCCACGCCCUAAACGAUGAUAACUCGAUGUUGGCGAUAGACAGCCAGCGUCUUAGCGA